GACGAACGCUGGCGGCGUGCCUAAUACAUGCAAGUCGAACGCACGAAGUUGAAGAGCUUGCUCUUUAACCAAGUGAGUGGCGGACGGGUGAGUAACACGUGGGUAACCUACCCAUUAGAGGGGGAUAACAUUCGGAAACGGAUGCUAAUACCGCAUAGUUUCAGGAAUCGCAUGAUUCGUGAAGGAAAGGUGGCUUCGGCUACCACUAAUGGAUGGACCCGCGGCGUAUUAGCUAGUUGGUGAGGUAAUGGCUCACCAAGGCAAUGAUACGUAGCCGACCUGAGAGGGUGAUCGGCCACACUGGGACUGAGACACGGCCCAGACUCCUACGGGAGGCAGCAGUAGGGAAUCUUCCGCAAUGGACGAAAGUCUGACGGAGCAACGCCGCGUGAGUGAAGAAGGUUUUCGGAUCGUAAAACUCUGUUGUUAAAGAAGAACAAGGAUGAGAGUAACUGCUCAUCCCCUGACGGUAUUUAACCAGAAAGCCACGGCUAACUACGUGCCAGCAGCCGCGGUAAUACGUAGGUGGCAAGCGUUGUCCGGAUUUAUUGGGCGUAAAGCGAGCGCAGGCGGUUCUUUAAGUCUGAUGUGAAAGCCCCCGGCUCAACCGGGGAGGGUCAUUGGAAACUGGAGAACUUGAGUGCGGAAGAGGAGAGUGGAAUUCCACGUGUAGCGGUGAAAUGCGUAGAUAUGUGGAGGAACACCAGUGGCGAAGGCGACUCUCUGGUCUGUAACUGACGCUGAGGCUCGAAAGCGUGGGGAGCAAACAGG
This 771-nucleotide ribosomal RNA is filed under the name uncultured Vagococcus sp. Its description in RNAcentral is "bacterial SSU rRNA". It matches the Rfam family "Bacterial small subunit ribosomal RNA", at positions 28 to 776 of the family's 1533-position model. Lineage: Bacteria; Bacillati; Bacillota; Bacilli; Lactobacillales; Enterococcaceae. The record is from RNAcentral.